CAUCUGACUUCGGGAGACCAGGUACACUUUGUAGAACUCCUCCUUUCCCCCCGAGGAAGCGUCUGCCCUUGGACAAACAAUGUCCAUCUUGUCCCCUAUUUGAGGAUACAGGACUAGACCCUGGCUUUGACUAAAUCUUGGAUGGACUCCAGAGUGGCGGCACUACAGCAGCGAAUGAUGGCCAGCAGGAUCCCGGCACCGCAGCUCCAUGUGCUUCUCCCCAUCACAGGCAGCUACAUGGCUUGACCUGCAACAAAAAUUUGGAUAUUGUUUAAAAGAAGGAGAAAAACGUUAUUUAAGUGGAAAUCACCAGCCCCCAGUCCAGGGUGUACACCGACCCUUGCCUGUUGUCAGCUGGGAUAGGCUUCAGCUCCCCCGCGACCCUGACGGAGAAAGCGGUAUAGAAAAUGGAUGGAUGGAUGACCAGACCCUCAUAAGUCAUCCCUCUGACUUUAGACCUGAAGAGAAAAAAUAGUUUGCAUCAGGCUCUGUUCACAAGUUUCAUUCCUCUUAAGGUCCAAUGAUCCAGUACUUUUAUAAUAGUAAAAGUCAUCCAAAAGACGGGAUAUGUCUGUCUAUGUAUUGCAAUGUAUUAUCUUUUUCUUUUUCAAAUUUUCUUUAUCUUCUUUGACUCCUUUCAGCCACUGCACCACUUCGUUUCACUUAUUAUUUUGUACCACAUCAAUAGUAACAGAAAUUAGUAUAUACUGUGCAUAGGGUGAGGGAUGGGGGCUUGAGGAGAUGGAAUAUAGAGGCCUCUUUAUUGAUGUGUUUUAAAGAAAAACAUGGUAACGUUUUCUCACCAUGUACAAUGUAACUUAUGUAAGUUAUAACAAUAAUGAUGAAAGUAAUAAUAUACACAAUAUCCAUGACUAUAUUUGCACAGUCAUUCAACAUGUAUGUACCUAAUACGCUUUGAAAUUUUGACAAGGUUUUAUCACAUAGGUUUCAAGGAAUUUAAUUGUCAUAACUUUUCAGCUGCUUCUGUUUCCGACUUUUGGACUUUCAGCUUCUGCAUGUUUGGUAUUAGUCCAAAAUAAGUAAAGCCAGUUAAAUAUUUUGUUUGUUUUUUCUCCUUUGAGUUUGGUCCUUAGCCACCAACCAUCAUAGCCUUUUUAUCUAUUAAGCCAAAUGCCAAGACAGAUUCAGAGGACAGCAUUUAUUUCAAAAUCCAUGUGUAUCCAAAAUGUGUGACCCUCUCAAAAAUAUGGAACGGCCUUUAUCAAUGUGGAUUUAAAAUAGACAGUAUAGACAGUAUUUUUUUUUUGCUGUGGAUGAUUAAAACAAACAUAAACAAACUUGUGACCUUAACAGCAUGUGAACCCUUCAAUCAGAUAGUCCAGCUUCUCCCACACAUCAGUAUAAAAGUAUAGUGACAAGCAGUAAAAUCAGUAAGAAAUGUAAUUGCUUCACACUGAAGCAUGUAACUAUAAACUGGUAACCAACCCUGCCAUUCUGAAAAUUUGUUCUUUGUCAAUGUGUGCUUCUGUGAAAUUAUGUUGUGUAUGAAAUACACAUCCUAUUUCCAUUCCAGAUUAAAUAUUUAGUCACAUUUUAAUUUUUUGAUCAAUAGUCAUAUCUAUGGAUCAAAAGUGACACUUACCCCAAAAUGGAUACAAAUAAACAAUGAAAUUGCACUUAUGUUUUUGUAAAUAAGUAAAUUAAUAAAUGAACAAAGACAAGUUGACCACAAUGAUAAAGAAAAGAAAAGAUUCUGUGUGCAUUCAUACUGUUUGAAUUAGCUUCAAAGUGAGUGAUUAACAAAAUGCUCUUCAUAAAAUCUGCUUAAAAGUUCCCCUUUUAGGACACAGUAGACAGACAUCUGAAAAAGAUAUAUUUCAGUACUAAUCAAAUGUCAUCAAUGUGUCUGAAGUGACAAU
This is a long non-coding RNA of Toxotes jaculatrix (banded archerfish), 1880 nucleotides long. RefSeq lists it as uncharacterized. The transcript has 4 exons. NCBI's taxonomy places the organism in Eukaryota, Metazoa, Chordata, Actinopteri, Toxotidae. The record is from RefSeq and is a predicted model, not a curated record.